AGAAUCAACGCUGGCGGCGUGCCUAACACAUGCAAGUCGAACGAGAAAGUGGAGCAAUCCAUGAGUAAAGUGGCGCACGGGUGAGUAACACGUGACUAACCUACCCUUGAGUGGGGGAUAACCUAGGGAAACCUGGGCUAAUACCGCAUAAUACCUUCGGGUCAAAGGAGCAAUUCGCUUAAGGAGGGGGUCGCGGCCGAUUAGUUAGUUGGCGGGGUAAUGGCCCACCAAGACUGUGAUCGGUAUCCGGCCUGAGAGGGCGCACGGACACACUGGAACUGAAACACGGUCCAGACUCCUACGGGAGGCAGCAGUGGGGAAUUUUGCGCAAUGGGGAAACCCUGACGCAGCAACGCCGCGUGGAGGAUGAAGUCCCUUGGGACGUAAACUCCUUUCGAUCGGGACGAUAAUGACGGUACCGAGAGAAGAAGCCCCGGCUAACUUCGCGCCAGCAGCCGC
This 459-nucleotide ribosomal RNA is filed under the name uncultured bacterium. RNAcentral's name for it is "SSU rRNA". It matches the Rfam family "Bacterial small subunit ribosomal RNA", at positions 26 to 518 of the family's 1533-position model. The record is from RNAcentral.